Molecule: ribosomal RNA, 253 nt
Filed under: uncultured bacterium
Lineage: Bacteria
Description: partial 16S ribosomal RNA
Rfam family: Bacterial small subunit ribosomal RNA
Source: RNAcentral
UACGUAGGGUGCAAGCGUUGUCCGGAAUUAUUGGGCGUAAAGAGCUCGUAGGCGGUUCGUCGCGUCGGCUGUGAAAUCCCGGAGCUCAACUCCGGGUCUGCAGUCGAUACGGGCGGACUCGAGUUCGGCAGGGGAGACUGGAAUUCCUGGUGUAGCGGUGAAAUGCGCAGAUAUCAGGAGGAACACCGGUGGCGAAGGCGGGUCUCUGGGCCGUUACUGACGCUGAGGAGCGAAAGCGUGGGGAGCGAACAGG